CAACUCCAGAACCACUCCCCAGCACCCCUCUCCUCACCCCCACCCAGCUCCUCUUACUCUCCUGGAGGGACAGGCAGGGCUCGCUGAGGACCCGCUCUCCCUCCAAGCUCCCGCUGUACCUCCCAUUCAGCACUUUCAAUGGGGACCCAGGGAGAGAAUGAGAGUCAGGGGCUGGUUUCAGCCAGCGAGCAGCAGGCAGAGAGAGAAAAACUGGCAAAGAAGUUUGCUUGUGCUGGGUCCCAGCUUUGUCAGCCAGCUGGGCCAGAUGCCACCGUGGAGGCAUCUGUCUCCACACAUCCUGUUUCUGGGGAUUGAUUCGCACAGCUGUCUCUUAGAUGGAAAGGAGGUGGCUGCCAACAGGACGCAGAGCAUCCUUCCAGCCCUACUUUAGGCAGGAUAGCUGAGUGGGAAGAUCCUGGGUUUUCAGUUGGGCAGGGAUUUCAAUCAGAUUCUGACACUCCCUAGAGGUGUCACCUUGGGUAAAUUGCCCAUACUGCCAGAGAUGUAUAAUAGCGGUAAGAAUGCUUGGUUCAAAUCCCAGUUCUCCUUCCUAGCUGUGUGGCCUCAGACAACUUACCUGAUAUCUCUGAAUCUCAGUUCUCUGAAUCUCUGAAAUGGGGAUCAUACCUGUACUUAUUCUUGUAGGAUUGUUGGGAAGAUUGAGUGACUUAAUGCACAUUCAAGAGUUUAGAACAGUGCCUGGCACCAAGUGUAGUCUCUGACUGUUAUAACCUUCUCUGAGCCUGUAAAAUGGGGUAACCUCACCUACUUCUGGGGUCAUUCUGAAGGACCAAAGAGCUAAUGGAAGUGAAGCACCUAGUCAUAUGCCUGGCACACGAGAGAUGCUCAAAAAUGGUAAUCUUAAUGGAAGUAGGAUUAUAUAGUAGGCUGAGUCCUUAGUCUGAGAACUACCUUGCGUAAUACACUUUAUGUCUCUGAGGCUCAACUUGGACACCUGUAAAAUGGGUCUUGCUGAAGGUUUGUCAGUUUUGUUGGUAUUUUCAAAGAACCCAUUCCAGGGGCCAGCCUGGUGGUGUAGUGGCCGUUCUCCACACUGUGCAGAGGGAUUAUUUUAAAACACAAAUGUGAUACAGUCAGCAACUUGAUGGAAACAACCUCAAUGGCUGCUUGCUGCUCUCUGGAUAAAGAUCAACAUGCUGUGUCCUACAAGGCCCUGAGGUCUCCAACAGGAGGCUUACCAUCUUCAUCUAGUCCUCAGUUGCAUUUUUUAAAAAAUAAAAUUGAACUGGCAAUGCUCUGUUUCUUGAUCUGGGUGCUGAACACUGGUACUUACC
RNAcentral lists this long non-coding RNA (1295 nucleotides) under Equus asinus (donkey). Its description in RNAcentral is "lncRNA (ENSEASG00005026739.1)". Lineage: Eukaryota; Metazoa; Chordata; Mammalia; Perissodactyla; Equidae. The record is from RNAcentral.